Molecule: ribosomal RNA, 411 nt
Filed under: uncultured bacterium
Lineage: Bacteria
Description: bacterial SSU rRNA
Rfam family: Bacterial small subunit ribosomal RNA
Source: RNAcentral
UGCCAGCAGCCGCGGUAAUACAGAGGUGGCAAGCGUUAUUCGGAAUUAUUGGGUGUAAAGGGCAGGUAGGCUGCCUGACAAGUGAGGGGUGAAAUCCUGCGGUUCAAUCGCAGAACUGCCUUUCAAACUAUCAGGCUUGAGUGUAACAGAGGAAAAUGGAAUUCUCGGUGUAAGGGUGAAAUCUGUAGAUAUCGGGAAGAACACCAACGGCGAAGGCAAUUUUCUGGGUUACAACUGACGCUGAGCUGCGAAAGCUAGGGGAGCAAACAGAAUUAGAUACUCUGGUAGUCCUAGCUGUAAACGAUGAGUACUAGGUGUUGGCGCCUUCGGGCGUCGGUGCCGAAGCUAACGCAUUAAGUACUCCACCUGGGGACUACGGUCGCAAGGCUAAAACUCAAAGGAAUUGACGGC